RNAcentral lists this ribosomal RNA (391 nucleotides) under uncultured bacterium. RNAcentral's name for it is "partial 16S ribosomal RNA". It matches the Rfam family "Bacterial small subunit ribosomal RNA", at positions 523 to 917 of the family's 1533-position model. The record is from RNAcentral.
ACACGUAGGGGGCGAGCGUUGUUCGGAAUCAUUGGGCGUAAAGGGCGCGCAGGCGGCGAGGCAAGUCCGGUGUGAAAGUGCUCGGCUCAACCGAGUGAUGCGCUGGAAACUGCCCUGCUUGAGUACAGGAGGGGACGUCGGAAUUCCAGGUGUAGGGGUGAAAUCUGUAGAUAUCUGGAAGAACACCGGUGGCGAAGGCGGACGUCUGGCCAUGUACUGACGCUGAGGCGCGAAGGUGCGGGGAGCGAACAGGUUUAGAUACCCUGGUAGGCCGCACAGUAAACGAUGUGCACCAGGUGGCGGGGGGUAGCCCUCGGUACCGAAGCCAACGCAUUAAGUGCACCGCCUGGGGAGUAUGCUCGCAAGGGUGAAACUCAAAGGAAUUGGCGGG